CAUUUUUAAUCAUAUAUUCUCUCGAUCAUACAAUUUUGCAUAUAAAUUCGUAACUUUUUUUUAUAUUUACCAAGUCCAUUUUCAUAAAAGUCUAUGCCAAACUGGCCCUCAUAGUUUGAGCAAAAUUGUAGCGGCAGAAUUUGGGAACAAGGGUAUAUUUGUCAAAAAAAACUAGAAAUUAUUGAGAAACAAAAAAAAUGGUAGAACAGCAGACUUUUGAAUUAGAAAUUCGUAUAAAUACAGACGUGUUUUAACUAUUCUACAAUAAUGGCGUUUCCGAACCAUUUCUCACAGGAAAUGGCUCUACGGCAUCUUUCCGAACAAAACUCCUCUGCUUUAAGCAACGUACUCCCAGAACAAAUGACUGCUCGCUUGCCGGAGCACCACCAACCGCCGCCUACGUGGCUGAACAGCGCUAUUCUCCGCCAGCAGAGUCAAUUCACAUCCACCGGCAACGGGAAUUUCCUCAAUAUGCAAAACAACUCGCACUCCGCCUCAGCGCCGUUGCAGGUUUCGAAUAAUCAGUGGCUUUCACGGCCAGUUUUGCAGCGAAAUGUCAGUGACGUGAGGGAUGAUGUUCAGGUGUCCAGUGAUUCGAUGAUCGGCACUGAUUUAAACAACAACAACCACAAUAAUAACACUCACACUGGCAGAAAUGAAAACAGUGAGUUAACGGAUGGCGGCAGCGGCGGUGGUGAAGGAGUGAUUAAUUGGCGAAAUUCGAGGUACAAAGCGGAGAUUUUGUCGCAUCCUUUGUAUGAGCAGCUAUUGUCUGCACAUGUGGCGUGCUUGCGAAUCGCGACGCCGGUGGAUCAGCUCCCGAGGAUCGAUGCUAAGCUUGAACAGUCACAGCAAGUGGUCGCUAAAUACUCCGCGCUUCAACAUGGAAAUCACGGCGAUGAUAAAGAGCUUGAUCAGUUUAUGGUAAGACUUUUUCUUAUUUUUGACUCUCUUGUUACUAUAUUAUGCAAAACGUUGAAGAGUUUACUUAAUUUGACUUCUUUUGGUGGCAUUAGUUAGUGGCAUAUAUAAAUUGAGGAUUCCUAUCCAUGUGCUUUGGACUUCCGUUUGAUGUGAAAGGAUGCCUAACAUAGAAUGCAAUCAAACAAUUAUAGGAGAAGGAAAAAGGGGAAAGAAAAAGAGAAAGAGAAACGAGAGGAAAAGAGAAGAAGGGGCAAUAAAAAGGGAAGAAGCAUUAGACAGAAGCAAAAUUUAACACAGAGAAAAUAUCUUUAUUUCAUUAUCAAAAUUGUAAGAAUUAAAAAGCAUAAGCCCCUUUAUAUAGGGUUUAAACUGGUCCAAAUUGAAGUAGAAAAAUACUAUAAAAUCUAUGAAAUCAAACCCUAUUUAUGUUUUUUAAAAUAAGCAUUAAAAUUGGAAACUAAAUUAAAUAAUAUCUAUAUUUCCAUCAAUGUCUUUUGUGUUAUUUUCUAUUAAGAUCAUGAGAAUUAUUAUGUGCUAUCCAACUGUAUAUUUUGUUUGAAGUGUUGAAUUAGUAUCUUAACUUUGUUUCAAUUUAACUUCCCCUGUAUGGAUACGGCUAUAGUUGCAUAAUAUUCUUAUUGGGGAGUCAAUGUGGACUUUUACACAUUUAAAAAUAUCAAAGCUCUUAUUUAUUUAUUUUUUUCGCCCUUUUUUUGUAGACACAUUAUGUCUUGUUAUUAUGUUCAUUUAAAGAACAACUUCAGCAGCAUGUGCGUGUUCAUGCAAUGGAAGCAGUUAUGGCUUGCUGGCAGAUUGAGCAAUCAUUACAAAGCGUAACAGGUGAUGCUUCUCUAUUUUUCUUCCUGUUGAUGUCAGAUAAAAUAUAUUGUUAUUAACACGAGAAACGGACCGUCAAAUUCUGUCCACUGGUGUAUUUUACGAAAUCAGUUGUAUAGGUACUGAUCAGCACUACCCUCAUUCUCAUUUACUCUUUCAAUUGGAUGCCUCUACAUCAUAGAAGAUUUAAAGCAAGUCCACUGGUGCCUGUCACCAAUUUGAAGCUAGUAAUAUUUAGAUUGUAAAGUUGUCAUAUUUUGUUUUCUGUCAUUCCAAUUACUUCAUUUUACCCAUAGGCAUAAUUUGUAAACAUGUCCAGUAUAUUUAGUCCCUGCUGCAGCACCUUCAUUGGCAACCGAUUGGUUUUAAGCAGAAACAGGAAAAUGCAUGUGCAAAAAUCAGGAGACCAGUCAUGCUUCUUGAGUAACAGCUAGUUGCAGAUUGGAGAAAUUGAUGCACAAGAAGGUUCUUGCACACUAAAUAUCUGCAACACAUUCCCACAGUUUUGGGUUCCUCGCCUUCAAUGUAUAAUGAAAGAGAAAUCAUUGUAGAUUAGAAACAACGGAAUAUUCAAACAUAUAAUAGACACAAAAGCACUCGUUUGCUAGUAGAUUGCUGAAUGGGGCUUGAAGAAGUGUGUGUUAGUAGAUCAUCAUUGUAAAAUUGCAGGGUAGGGUUUCUCCUGCUUUCGUGAUAUUAUUACAAUUCUCAGUCUCUACUGACAUGGACACAAUUUGAUUACUGUUGUAAUUGUAGCCUUCAAUGGUUCUCAAUAUGAGGUAGAACUAAAUCUUCUGAAUGCUUUUAUUCCGCUAACUAUGCAUUGAACAGCCAAAAAAUGGCACAAUGCUAAAGUUUGCCAUCACAUGCUUCGUGAGCAGGAGUUUCUGCAGGAGAAGGAACAGGUGCUACAAUGUCUGAUGAUGAUGAGGACCAGGUAGAAAGUGAUGUAAACAUGUUUGAUGGAAGUGUAGAUGGUUCCGACAGUAUGGGAUUUGGUCCUCUGAUCCCAACAGAGAGUGAAAGGUCAAUAAUGGAGCAUGUACGGCAGGAGCUAAAGCAUGAGUUGAAACAGGUAUGAAGUACAUAACUGUUUGUCAAGAAUCAUUUUGUUCAACUGUAUACACUAACCAUUCCUUUUUAUUUUUCCUCCACACAGGGUUACAAAGAAAAGAUUGUGGACAUCAGGGAGGAAAUUUUACGCAAGAGAAAGGCGGGAAAGCUUCCUGGUGAUACUACAUUGACGUUAAAAGCUUGGUGGCAAUCACAUUCAAAGUGGCCAUACCCUACCGUAAGUUUCAGAAUGAAAAUUAAAUAUUGCAUUCUUGGACAAAUUAAUUAAGAAAGUGAAAACCAAUGACAGUUCAGUAUUGUUGACAUGCAAUUACCAAUUAGAGCGCUAGUGUAAGGCUUUCCAAAUUUAUUAGUUCUGCCUUUUAUUGGACUGGUCUGGAUUAGUUGUCGUGGCAAUGGGGAAGACGCCAUUUGAUUUUAGUUUACUUUUAGUAUCCUGCUCAGGUAAUUAAACUCCUGUGGUUAAUAUGUACUUUGCAGGAGGAAGAUAAGGUAAUAUUGGUGCAAGAAACAGGCUUACAACUGAAACAGAUAAAUAAUUGGUUCAUUAAUCAAAGGAAGAGGAACUGGCAUAGUAAUUCGUCCUCCUCCACAUCCUUGAAAAGCAAACACAAAAAGGUAUUCAAAUCUGUACGAAUGUACACAGCUUCAGUAGGAAGUUUUAAGGAUAUUUCCACUGAUUUAAUUGGAAUAAGUAAUGCAGGUGAAAACAGGGACGACCAUUUCACAUAAUUGAUGCGAGCUUCUCGAGUAACAGCUAUACAUAUUUCCCCUUCAUUUAGUAUAUUUUAAUCUGGAAAGUUCUCGCUUAUGGUUGCACUUGUUACAACAUGGAGGGACGGAAAGAGAUCACUAAUGUUGAUGGUAGAGGUUAUGGUGGAUGAUUUUGCUCCUCUCUGAUCCUGAGGAGAGGAAACAGCCUAUUACAGUAGAUGUUUGUUCCUUGGCAGUUAAGGUUUAUAGAUGCACGACGACUGGUUGGAUAUAGUAUGCCCGUCCCUUCAUGGACUCGUUCGAUUUUGUUAUUUCCGUAUGUGUAUAAAAAUAGGAAUUCUAUUUCCAGUGUACAGUUCAAUAAUCUAUGGAUUGGUGUGGGAAAUUGAUAUUAUCCGUGAACUUGUUUCGCUUAUUGAUAGUAUACAAUUGCUAUAAUUUUGAUUGAUCACAGAUUUGGAUACUUCUCAACUUCAUGUCUAUUCUUAUUAAGCUGCUGCAAUUGAUGCAUCUCUUCAAAAG
This 4071-nucleotide long non-coding RNA is filed under the name Olea europaea subsp. europaea. Lineage: Eukaryota; Viridiplantae; Streptophyta; Magnoliopsida; Lamiales; Oleaceae. The record is from RNAcentral.